UUAGUGGAAGCGUCUGGAAAGGCGCGCGAUACAGGGUGACAGCCCCGUACACAAAAAUGCACAUGCUGUGAGCUCGAUGAGUAGGGCGGGACACGUGGUAUCCUGUCUGAAUAUGGGGGGACCAUCCUCCAAGGCUAAAUACUCCUGACUGACCGAUAGUGAACCAGUACCGUGAGGGAAAGGCGAAAAGAACCCCGGCGAGGGGAGUGAAAAAGAACCUGAAACCGUGUACGUACAAGCAGUGGGAGCACGCUUAGGCGUGUGACUGCGUACCUUUUGUAUAAUGGGUCAGCGACUUAUAUUCUGUAGCAAGGUUAACCGAAUAGGGGAGCCGAAGGGAAACCGAGUCUUAACUGGGCGUUAAGUUGCAGGGUAUAGACCCGAAACCCGGUGAUCUAGCCAUGGGCAGGUUGAAGGUUGGGUAACACUAACUGGAGGACCGAACCGACUAAUGUUGAAAAAUUAGCGGAUGAC
This 474-nucleotide ribosomal RNA is filed under the name Escherichia coli. RNAcentral's name for it is "partial 23S ribosomal RNA". It matches the Rfam family "Bacterial large subunit ribosomal RNA", at positions 329 to 808 of the family's 2925-position model. Lineage: Bacteria; Pseudomonadati; Pseudomonadota; Gammaproteobacteria; Enterobacterales; Enterobacteriaceae. The record is from RNAcentral.